Molecule: ribosomal RNA, 450 nt
Filed under: uncultured Archaeospora
Lineage: Eukaryota; Fungi; Glomeromycota; Glomeromycetes; Archaeosporales; Archaeosporaceae
Description: SSU rRNA
Rfam family: Eukaryotic small subunit ribosomal RNA
Source: RNAcentral
AGCAGCCGCGGUAACUCCAGCUCCAAUAGCGUAUAUUAAAGUUGUUGCAGUUAAAAAGCUCGUAGUUGAAUUUUGGAUUCGGCCAAUUGGUCCAUCUUUUAGAUGAGUACUGGUUGUGUUGGGUCUAUCCGCCUGGUGAUACGUAAUGUCCUUUAUUGGAUGUUGCGGGUAGUCAGGACCUUUACCUUGAAAGAAUUAGAGUGUUUAAAGCAGGCUUAUGCCGGAAUACAUUAGCAUGGAAUAAUAGAAUAGGACGAAGUUGUUUUAUUUUGUUGGUUUCUAGGACAACCGUAAUGAUUAAUAGGGAUAGUUGGGGGCAUUAGUAUUCAAUUGUCAGAGGUGAAAUUCUUGGAUUUAUUGAAGACUAACUACUGCGAAAGCAUUUGCCAAGGAUGUUUUCAUUAAUCAAGAACGAAAGUUAGGGGAUCGAAGACGAUCAGAUACCGUCGU